UCAUGUUACAUGUUACAGUUCUGGGCUUGUAAUCUCUGUGCAUGCACUUUUACCUCAGAGCCAGAAAAAGUGAAAGUAACUGCGAAGAGGACAACCGAAUUCACUUGAAACCGGUUUGACUGGAGGGGCCAAAGGCUGCAUGCCAUGUGUGGGGGUGUGAGGCAGACACGCGCACACAAAAUUGCAACAGAUACAUGCCUUCUCUCCCUUAUUAAAAAAUAUGCUUACUCACACGUCCACAACGAUGUUCACAUCGUGUGUGAACUCAACCUCUUCGCCUGAGCAUGAAAUUAUUUUGAGGGUUUGGAUUUAGGCAAAACUCCAACCUCUAGAGGUGUCUUUUCCAGGGAGUGAGAUGGGAACUUUUACUGUCCGAGCAGAACACAGCUGGAACAAGACAACAUUCAUAUGUGUGAGUAUAUGGUAAAUAAUACUCGUAUUGGCGGAUUCUCCAUGGUCUCUACACAUUGUCACUACAAAGGAGCCAUGACAGAACAGAAUAUGGACAGAACGCGUUGUCUGUUACAUAAUGCUAUGACACACUCAAUUACGGUAAACAAUUGGCCACUGAGACCAAGAAGAGAGACGACAGGACAGUCAUCCCUGGAAUGAAGCAGAUGUUUGGGUGCACUCUGAGAAAAGACACACAGGUUUACAAGCACAGGCUCCCAGAGGCAGGAAAUAAAUUAAUUAAAAGAGCUGAA
This is a long non-coding RNA of Alosa sapidissima (American shad), 704 nucleotides long. RefSeq lists it as uncharacterized. NCBI's taxonomy places the organism in Eukaryota, Metazoa, Chordata, Actinopteri, Clupeiformes, Clupeidae. The record is from RefSeq and is a predicted model, not a curated record. The transcript has 2 exons.